RNAcentral lists this ribosomal RNA (254 nucleotides) under uncultured bacterium. RNAcentral's name for it is "partial 16S ribosomal RNA". It matches the Rfam family "Bacterial small subunit ribosomal RNA", at positions 526 to 779 of the family's 1533-position model. The record is from RNAcentral.
CGGGGGAUGCAAGUGUUAUCCGGAAUAAUUGGGCGUAAAGCGUCUGUAGGUGGUUGACCAAGUCUGUUGUUAAAAUACAGGGCUUAACCCUGAUCCGGCAACAGAAACUAGUAAACUUGAGUACGGUAGGGGCAGAGGGAAUUCUCGGUGUAGUGGUGAAAUACGUAGAUAUCGAGAAGAACACCAAUAGCGAAAGCACUCUGCUGGGCCGAAACUGACAUUGAGAGACGAAAGCUAGGGGAGCAAAAGGGAUU